CCUACGGGAGGCUGCAGUAGGGAAUCUUUCACAAUGGGCGAAAGCCUGAUGGAGCAACGCCGCGUGCAGGAUGAAGGCCUUCGGGUUGUAAACUGCUUUUAUAAGCGAGAAAUAUGAUGGUAACUUAUGAAUAAGGAUCGGCUAACUACGUGCCAGCAGCCGCGGUCAUACGUAGGAUCCGAGCAUUAUCCGGAGUGACUGGGUGUAAAGAGUUGCGUAGGUGGCAUAAUAAGUAGCUAGUGAAAUCUGGUGGCUCAAACAUUCAGACUAUUAGCUAAACUGUUAAGCUCGAGACCGUUAGGGGUAACUGGAAUUUCUAGUGUAGGAGUGAAAUCCGUAGAUAUUAGAAGGAACACCAAUAGCGUAGGCAGGUUGCUGGGACGGUUCUGACACUAAGGCACGAAAGCGUAGGGAGCAAACGGGAUUAGAUAAGUC
This 435-nucleotide ribosomal RNA is filed under the name uncultured bacterium. Its description in RNAcentral is "partial 16S ribosomal RNA". It matches the Rfam family "Bacterial small subunit ribosomal RNA", at positions 338 to 787 of the family's 1533-position model. The record is from RNAcentral.